GGUUAAGCGACUAAGCGUACACGGUGGAUGCCCUGGCAGUCAGAGGCGAUGAAGGACGUGCUAAUCUGCGAAAAGCGCCGGCGAGGUGAUAUGAACCCUUGACCCGGCGAUGUCCGAAUGGGGAAACCCAGUGCAAUCCGUUGCACUAUCGUUAACUGAAUACAUAGGUUAACGAGGCGAACCGGGGGAACUGAAACAUCUAAGUACCCCGAGGAAAAGAAAUCAACCGAGAUUCCCCCAGUAGCGGCGAGCGAACGGGGAGCAGCCCAGAGUCUGAAUCAGCUUGUGUGUUAGUGGAAGCGUCUGGAAAGUCGCACGGUACAGGGUGAAAGUCCCGUACACGAAAAUGCACAGGUUGUGAACUCGAAGAGUAGGGCGGGACACGUGGUAUCCUGUCUGAAUAUGGGGGGACCAUCCUCCAAGGCUAAAUACUCCUGACUGACCGAUAGUGAACCAGUACCGUGAGGGAAAGGCGAAAAGAACCCCGGCGAGGGGAGUGAAAAAGAACCUGAAACCGUGUACGUACAAGCAGUGGGAGCACCUUCGGGUGUGACUGCGUACCUUUUGUAUAAUGGGUCAGCGACUUAUAUUCUGUAGCAAGGUUAACCGUAUAGGGGAGCCGAAGGGAAACCGAGUCUUAACUGGGCGUUAAGUUGCAGGGUAUAGACCCGAAACCCGGUGAUCUAGCCAUGGGCAGGUUGAAGGUUGGGUAACACUAACUGGAGGACCGAACCGACUAAUGUUGAAAAAUUAGCGGAUGACUUGUGGCUGGGGGUGAAAGGCCAAUCAAACCGGGAGAUAGCUGGUUCUCCCCGAAAGCUAUUUAGGUAGCGCCUCGUGAACUCAUCUUCGGGGGUAGAGCACUGUUUCGGCUAGGGGGCCAUCCCGGCUUACCAACCCGAUGCAAACUACGAAUACCGAAGAAUGUUAUCACGGGAGACACACGGCGGGUGCUAACGUCCGUCGUGAAGAGGGAAACAACCCAGACCGCCAGCUAAGGUCCCAAAGUCAUGGUUAAGUGGGAAACGAUGUGGGAAGGCCCAGACAGCCAGGAUGUUGGCUUAGAAGCAGCCAUCAUUUAAAGAAAGCGUAAUAGCUCACUGGUCGAGUCGGCCUGCGCGGAAGAUGUAACGGGGCUAAACCAUGCACCGAAGCUGCGGCAGCGACACUAUGUGUUGUUGGGUAGGGGAGCGUUCUGUAAGCCGUUGAAGGUGACCUGUGAGGGUUGCUGGAGGUAUCAGAAGUGCGAAUGCUGACAUAAGUAACGAUAAAGCGGGUGAAAAGCCCGCUCGCCGGAAGACCAAGGGUUCCUGUCCAACGUUAAUCGGGGCAGGGUGAGUCGACCCCUAAGGCGAGGCCGAAAGGCGUAGUCGAUGGGAAACAGGUUAAUAUUCCUGUACUUGGUGUUACUGCGAAGGGGGGACGGAGAAGGCUAUGUUAGCCGGGCGACGGUUGUCCCGGUUUAAGCAUGUAGGCGGAGGUUCCAGGUAAAUCCGGUACCUUUUUAACGCUGAGGUGUGAUGACGAGGCACUACGGUGCUGAAGUAACAAAUGCCCUGCUUCCAGGAAAAGCCUCUAAGCAUCAGGUAACACGAAAUCGUACCCCAAACCGACACAGGUGGUCAGGUAGAGAAUACCAAGGCGCUUGAGAGAACUCGGGUGAAGGAACUAGGCAAAAUGGUGCCGUAACUUCGGGAGAAGGCACGCUGAUAUGUAGGUGAAGCCCCUGCGGGUGGAGCUGAAAUCAGUCGAAGAUACCAGCUGGCUGCAACUGUUUAUUAAAAACACAGCACUGUGCAAACACGAAAGUGGACGUAUACGGUGUGACGCCUGCCCGGUGCCGGAAGGUUAAUUGAUGGGGUUAGCGGUAACGCGAAGCUCUUGAUCGAAGCCCCGGUAAACGGCGGCCGUAACUAUAACGGUCCUAAGGUAGCGAAAUUCCUUGUCGGGUAAGUUCCGACCUGCACGAAUGGCGUAAUGAUGGCCAGGCUGUCUCCACCCGAGACUCAGUGAAAUUGAACUCGCUGUGAAGAUGCAGUGUACCCGCGGCAAGACGGAAAGACCCCGUGAACCUUUACUAUAGCUUGACACUGAACACUGGUCCUUGAUGUGUAGGAUAGGUGGGAGGCUUUGAAGCGUGGACGCCAGUCUGCGUGGAGCCAACCUUGAAAUACCACCCUUUAAUGGCUGGUGUUCUAACGUAGACCCGUGAUCCGGGUUGCGGACAGUGUCUGGUGGGUAGUUUGACUGGGGCGGUCUCCUCCCAAAGAGUAACGGAGGAGCACGAAGGUUAGCUAAUCCUGGUCGGACAUCAGGAGGUUAGUGCAAUGGCAUAAGCUAGCUUGACUGCGAGAGUGACGGCUCGAGCAGGUGCGAAAGCAGGUCAUAGUGAUCCGGUGGUUCUGAAUGGAAGGGCCAUCGCUCAACGGAUAAAAGGUACUCCGGGGAUAACAGGCUGAUACCGCCCAAGAGUUCAUAUCGACGGCGGUGUUUGGCACCUCGAUGUCGGCUCAUCACAUCCUGGGGCUGAAGUAGGUCCCAAGGGUAUGGCUGUUCGCCAUUUAAAGUGGUACGCGAGCUGGGUUUAGAACGUCGUGAGACAGUUCGGUCCCUAUCUGCCGUGGGCGCUGGAGAAUUGAGGGGGGCUGCUCCUAGUACGAGAGGACCGGAGUGGACGCAUCACUGGUGUUCGGGUUGUCAUGCCAAUGGCACUGCCCGGUAGCUAAAUGCGGAAGAGAUAAGUGCUGAAAGCAUCUAAGCACGAAACUUGCCCCGAGAUGAGUUCUCCCUGAGACUUAAAGUCUCCUGAAGGAACGUUGAAGACGACGACGUUGAUAGGUCGGGUGUGUAAGCGCAGCGAUGCGUUGAGCUAACCGAUACUAAUGAACCGUGAGGCUUAACCUU
Molecule: ribosomal RNA, 2904 nt
Filed under: Enterobacter cloacae subsp. dissolvens
Lineage: Bacteria; Pseudomonadati; Pseudomonadota; Gammaproteobacteria; Enterobacterales; Enterobacteriaceae
Description: 23S ribosomal RNA
Rfam family: Bacterial large subunit ribosomal RNA
Source: RNAcentral